AUGCAAGUCGCACGAGAAAGCCUUGGCUUGCCAGGGCGAGUAAAGUGGCGCACGGGUGAGUAACGCGUGGGUAAUCUACCCCUGAAUUUGGGAUAACCCUUCGAAAGGGGGGCUAAUACCGGAUGACAUCGUAUUUUCUUAGGGGGAUGCGGUCAAAGGUAGCCUCUACAUGUAAGCUACUGUUUGGGGAUGAGCCCGCGUACCAUUAGCUAGUUGGUGGGGUAACGGCCCACCAAGGCCGCGAUGGUUAGCUGGUCUGAGAGGAUGAUCAGCCACACUGGAACUGACACACGGUCCAGACGCCUACGGGAGGCAGCAGUGAGGAAUUUUNCGCAAUGGGGGAAACCCUGACGCACCAACGCCGCGUGAGUGAUGNAGGCCUUCGGGUCGUAAANCUCUNUCAAGUGGGAAGAACCUNCGGAGGUCCAAUAGGCCUCUGUACUGACGGUACCACUAAAGGAAGCACCGGCUAACUCCGUNCCAACANCNNCGGUAAUACGGGGGUGCAAGCGUUAUUCGGAUUUACUGAGCGUAAAGCGCGCGCAGNCGGUUUUUUAAGUCGGAUGUGNAAGCCCUGGGCUCUACCCCGGAAGUGCAUUCGAUACUGGGAGACUUGAGUAUGGGAGAGNGAAGUGGAAUUCCUGGUGUAGAGGUGAAAUUCGUAGAUAUCAGGAGGAACACCGGUGNCGAAGGCGACUUCCUGGACCAAUACUGACGCUGAGGCGCGAAGGCGUGGGGAGCAAACAGGAUUAGAUACCCUGGUAG
Molecule: ribosomal RNA, 765 nt
Filed under: unidentified sulfate-reducing bacterium A01
Lineage: Bacteria; Deltaproteobacteria
Description: bacterial SSU rRNA
Rfam family: Bacterial small subunit ribosomal RNA
Source: RNAcentral